AAGAGAAAGAAAGGAAGAGAAAGAGAGAGAAAAUGAAUAAAUCAAUAACCUAUCAACUUUAGAAGAAGAGAAUCUGCUAGUGAACGCUAUGUCCUGACAGCAGUGGCUUGAGAAACACUGUCCACUGAACAUUUGAGGUUGCUUCUGUUUGGUCUUUCUGAAGAGCUCUUUGGCUAGAUGUCCAAACCCUUUAAAAUAUGCAAUUUAUCAAUAAAGUUGAUUUAAAGA
Molecule: long non-coding RNA, 228 nt
Organism: Mastomys coucha (southern multimammate mouse)
Lineage: Eukaryota; Metazoa; Chordata; Mammalia; Rodentia; Muridae
Exons: 2
Source: RefSeq, a predicted model, not a curated record